This 504-nucleotide ribosomal RNA is filed under the name uncultured Glomeromycotina. RNAcentral describes it as "SSU rRNA". It matches the Rfam family "Eukaryotic small subunit ribosomal RNA", at positions 569 to 1077 of the family's 1831-position model. Lineage: Eukaryota; Fungi; Glomeromycota. The record is from RNAcentral.
AGCAGCCGCGGUAAUUCCAGCUCCAAUAGCGUAUAUUAAAGUUGUUGCAGUUAAAAAGCUCGUAGUUGAAUUUCAGGCCUGGCUGGACGGUCCGCCCUUCGGGUGAGUACUGUCUGUGGUCGGGUCCUACCUUCUGGCGAAGCGUCAUGGCCUUAACCGGCCGUGGCGGGGAACCAGGACUUUUACUGUGAAAAAAUUAGAGUGUUCAAAGCAGGCAAUCGCUUGGAUACAUUAGCAUGGAAUAAUGGAAUAGGACAAUGGUUCUAUUUGUUGGUCUCUAGGACCGUUGUAAUGAUUAAUAGGGAUAGUUGGGGGCAUUAGUAUUCAAUUGUCAGAGGUGAAAUUCUUGGAUUUAUUGAAGACUAACUACUGCGAAAGCAUUUGCCAAGGAUGUUUUCAUUAAUCAAGAACGAAAGUUAGGGGAUCGAAGACGAUCAGAUACCGUCGUAGUCUUAACCAUAAACUAUGCCGACUAGGAAUCGGGCGAUGUUGACAAAAUGACGC